UACGGAGGGUGCGAGCGUUGUCCGGAAUCAUUGGGCGUAAAGGGCGCGUAGGUGGCUUCUCAAGCGUGCGGUGAAAGCCUGGGGCUCAACCUCGGAACUGCCUUCGAUACUGCGGGUCUCGAGUCCGGGAGAGGUGAGUGGAAUUCCUAGUGUAGAGGUGAAAUUCGUAGAUAUUAGGAAGAACACCAGUGGCGAAGGCGGCUCACUGGCCCGGUACUGACGCUGAGGCGCGAAAGCGUGGGGAGCAAACAGG
RNAcentral lists this ribosomal RNA (253 nucleotides) under uncultured bacterium. RNAcentral's name for it is "partial 16S ribosomal RNA". It matches the Rfam family "Bacterial small subunit ribosomal RNA", at positions 524 to 776 of the family's 1533-position model. The record is from RNAcentral.